RNAcentral lists this ribosomal RNA (483 nucleotides) under uncultured bacterium. Its description in RNAcentral is "partial 16S ribosomal RNA". It matches the Rfam family "Bacterial small subunit ribosomal RNA", at positions 30 to 507 of the family's 1533-position model. The record is from RNAcentral.
AUUGAACGCUGGCGGCAGGCCUAACACAUGCAAGUCGAGCGGAUGAAGGGAGCUUGCUCCUGGAUUCAGCGGCGGACGGGUGAGUAAUGCCUAGGAAUCUGCCUGGUAGUGGGGGAUAACGUCCGGAAACGGGCGCUAAUACCGCAUACGUCCUGAGGGAGAAAGUGGGGGAUCUUCGGACCUCACGCUAUCAGAUGAGCCUAGGUCGGAUUAGCUAGUUGGUGGGGUAAAGGCCUACCAAGGCGACGAUCCGUAACUGGUCUGAGAGGAUGAUCAGUCACACUGGAACUGAGACACGGUCCAGACUCCUACGGGAGGCAGCAGUGGGGAAUAUUGGACAAUGGGCGAAAGCCUGAUCCAGCCAUGCCGCGUGUGUGAAGAAGGUCUUCGGUUUUAAAGCACUUUAAGUUGGGAGGAAGGGCAGUAAGUUAAUACCUUGCUGUUUUGACGUUACCAACAGAAUAAGCACCGGCUAACUUCGUG